This 476-nucleotide long non-coding RNA is filed under the name Linum usitatissimum (flax). Its description in RNAcentral is "long non-coding RNA (LUSI_LNC006065)". Lineage: Eukaryota; Viridiplantae; Streptophyta; Magnoliopsida; Malpighiales; Linaceae. The record is from RNAcentral.
AAAAACAUAAACCAUAGAUAGAAUAUAGGAAUACCGACCAAUAAAUUGAACACAAAAACAACAGUCAACACAUAUAACACAUUAAUUUACAUCAACAAAUUUAACACAUGAUGAAGCAUAAGAGAAACAUGAACAAAUAGGAAUACACUCCGCAUGCAUUUAGUUACAUAGAACACAUGCAUAUCUAUGUAUAUAAAUACAUAUUUGAAUAUAUUCAACAUAGAGAACAAAUAUUUGAUUCAAAUUCAGCUGGAGAAGAGAUCUGUUUCCUCUUUUUAGGUUUCACUUUUUUCGGUUUCGCUCCCUUGUUGUCUUCCGCCUCUUUCAUCAGUGUUGAAGAUCUUGUUCGUCCAGUGCUACAAAACGAUUGACCUUGUUUUCUUUAGGCUUCCGGCCACCUGAAGUCGACGCAGAUUUGUCGGAAGAAUUCUUAAUGUUCGCCAUUAAAACCUAAGUGCUUUGGAAGAACGAGCAAA